This 492-nucleotide ribosomal RNA is filed under the name uncultured bacterium. RNAcentral's name for it is "partial 16S ribosomal RNA". It matches the Rfam family "Bacterial small subunit ribosomal RNA", at positions 29 to 507 of the family's 1533-position model. The record is from RNAcentral.
AGUGAACGCUGGCGGUAGGCCUAACACAUGCAAGUCGAACGGUAGCACAGUAAGAGCUUGCUCUUACGGGUGGCGAGUGGCGGACGGGUGUGGAAUACAUCGGAAUCUCCUUUUUCGUGGGGGAUAACGUAGGGAAACUUACGCUAAUACCGUAUACGACCUACGGGUGAAAGCAGGGGCUCUUCGGAUCUUGCGCGAUUGAAUGAGCCGAUGUCGGAUUAGCUAGUUGGCGGGGUAAAGGCCCACCCAGGCGACGAUCCGUAGCUGGUCUGAGAGGAUGAUCAGCCACACUGGAACUGAGACACGGUCCAGACUCCUACGGGAGGCAGCAGUGGGGAAUAUUGGACAAUGGGCGCAAGCCUGAUCCAGCCAUACCGCGUGGGUGAAGAAGGCCUUCGGGUUGUAAAGCCCUUUUGUUGGGAAAGAAAAGCAGCAGGUUAAUACCCCGCUGUUCUGACGGUACCCAAAGAAUAAGCACCGGCUAACUUCGUG